CUUGACCUCGGAUCAGGUGGGAUACCCGCUGAACUUAAGCAUAUCAAUAAGCGGAGGA
Molecule: ribosomal RNA, 58 nt
Filed under: Ascochyta rabiei
Lineage: Eukaryota; Fungi; Ascomycota; Dothideomycetes; Pleosporales; Didymellaceae
Description: partial 26S ribosomal RNA
Source: RNAcentral